UGCAAGCAUGACUGUACGUCGCUUUGGAUUAAAGCCUCUGCUAAAUAACAUAUA
Non-coding RNA from Salmo salar (Atlantic salmon), 54 nucleotides. The record is from Rfam. Lineage: Eukaryota; Metazoa; Chordata; Actinopteri; Salmoniformes; Salmonidae.